RNAcentral lists this non-coding RNA (28 nucleotides) under Mus musculus (house mouse). Lineage: Eukaryota; Metazoa; Chordata; Mammalia; Rodentia; Muridae. The record is from RNAcentral.
UCCCCCACUCGGAUACUGAACUAACAAA